ACUGCACUUGUACAGUUGCAACAUACAGAGAGAUGGUUUCAGAGGGGAAAUGCUCAUGUUUCCAAUGGGAGGAUAUGAAGCCCACUUUGAUUGAUAGCUAUAGAUGACAAAUGGAUAUCUGAGAGGUAUGCCACCACAACUAGCAAAUAAAGUUAUUAUGUAAUUAAUGGUAUCAUACUAAAGGGUUAUGCUAAAUUAUCAAGAAAGAAAAGUCAACUACAGUAUAUCAAGAGCCGUAGCAGCCGUGGCGGAGCAUGCCGCACCACAUACAGCCAAGCGAAUGAAAGAACCUGAGCGGAGGACUCUAAAACAAGUGAGAUGAGACAAGUUCCUCUGAUUUCAACACUAAAGGUAAUUUAUUAACAAACCCAAAUUCCUGCUUGGCUGACCAACAGACUAAAAGCAAAAGCCUAGCAUAGCAUAGCAGCCUGACGGCCAUAGCAGAGGCGUAGUAGUGGAGUAUGGGCUCUACAGGCUCCAGGUCCAGGCUCAGUCAGGUGGCCCCGUGUCACAGUCAGACAGAGGGAGACCUGGACCAGCAGGCCAGUCAUCCCACUUCACAUUGGACCAUCCCUGCCAUACCAACCCCACUGGAGCAACAACAUCAGCCGCUGGGACAUAGGAGGACUACCCAGCUGCCGCCACUGAAACUGGAAAACCCUGCAACCUUCCCACCACUAUCUACAGCCUCCCACAAAGUCAAAUCAACAUUUGGGGUCCAAAAGCAUCAUUCAUCCUCAGCCACCACGGAGACUACAGGUCAGAACAGGAAGGUUUCACUCAAAUUGUACUACAAACUAUUACUAGCAUUCUUGUUCAACUGUUACUAAAUUCCUAUUUUGUUAUUUUCCUAUCUCUAUGUGAGAUAAAUUGCAUUUCAGUGUAGUGUCAAUUUUGAAUCUGUUUAAAUGGCCUUAUGCUUCAGUUUGAUUUGUUCUCUAUUGUCACAGGGCAGGGACCGGAGAGAUGGGGGUGUCCUCCACUUUUCUACACCCAGCCAGGGGGCACAUGGUGGCACCGGCCGCCAGCCGCAGGUGCAGAUAGAUACUGUAACGGAUUAACAUGCUUAAGUUACUCAGUUGUUAUAAAAGGAAAUGUACGUGUGUAGCAAGAUAGUACUGUGCUUGGUCUGAGAGAGAGAGAGAGAGCGAGAGAGAGAGAGAGAGAGCUGGGGAGCUGCCAGCCCGGGCCCUUCCUGUUCCAGUGGGCCUGACUGCAGUGCUGGUGGGGUGGGCCACAGCCAGCCAUGACUGGCCCUCAAUGGGAUGCUCUUUCAAGGUACGGGGAACAGGAAAAUCCCCACGACCAGGCAAACACACACAAGCAUGUAUGUGGACAUACACUCAUUGGGGUGGCAGGGUAGCCUAGUGGUUAGAGUGUUGGACUAGCAACCGAGAGGUUGCAGGGGUGGCAGGGUAGCCUAGUGGUUAGAGUGUUGGAUUAGCAACCGAGAGGUUGCAGGGUAGCCUAGUGGUUAAAGUGUUGGACUAGCAACCGAGAGGUGGCAGGGUAGCCUAGUGGUUAGAGUGUUGGAUUAGCAACCGAGAGGUUGCAGGGUAGCCUAGUGGUUAAAGUGUUGGACUAGCAACCGUAGAGGUUGCAAGUUCAAAUCCCCGAGCUGACAAAGUACAAAUCUGUUGUUCUGCACCUAAACAGGCAGUUAACCCACUGUUCCUAGGCCAUCAUUGAAAACAAUAAUAUGUUCUUAACUGACUUGCCUAGUUAAAUAAAGGUAUAAAAUGAUUGCUUAGGGCAUGAUCUAGAGAUCAAAAACUUUUCUAUCGCAUAUUUUGGGUGAAUUAUCUGUAACAUAUCGUUGGUGCAUUAUGUGUAUAACAUGGCAUGUGACUAUAUUAUAUUUCAAACAACCAUUUGUUGCUGACCCAUGAAUGGUGUGGUCUUUCUGGCUGUGUGGGUUGGGUUGUGCUGGAUAGGGAGGUCUCCUGGAGGCACAGAUGGUCCUCAGUCAACAGGCCCAGCAGAGACAGAGAGCCCACCGGAGACAAGUCAGAGAACAGCAGGAGCACGAGAGGAUCUUCUAAACAGAUAAUUUUGGAGCACCAAGCAGCAAAGGGAUACAGACACUGCAUCUGCUGAACAGGCCAACGCUAGGGGACAUAUUUUGGGAUUGGAUGACAGAAGAGAGCCUUGCCCUCAGGGAGAUCCUCCAACAAAGACCCCUUCCCCCAGAGCAAGGAGAGAGACAACAGUACCAGCCUGGACCACAACCACUGCACCUGUGUCGGGAUGAGGAGCUGAUCAACAGAGACUUGGCAUGGGGAGGCCUCAGGAGUCCUCACCAGAAAACCAAUACUCUCACAGACAGAGGGAGGGGUGAUGGAUGGUGGACCGACUUUGAGGAAAACCUUACCUUGGAUGCUGGACUGGAAGACAGAGAAACAAGGAGAUCCAGUUCCCAAACACUUGAACUCUUUAGGGGAUAGUGAGAGGGCUAGUAGGUGGGACAUGAGGCCCAGGCCUCUGAUAGACUGGCAGAGGUGGGACAUUGGUUGAAUCAACGUUGUUCCACAUCAUUUCAAUAAAAUUACGUUGAACCAUCAUGGAAUAGACGUUGAAUUGACGUCUGUGCCCAGUGGGCUAUAUCAUGUGGAGAGCGUGAUUUGGGAACCUGAACUGGACUAGGAGCUGUUUAUGAGGUUUAGUAAUCUGGAUUAAACUGGAUCUCCAAUCUCAUGUUGCAAAAUGCUAAUUAACUUUUCAUGGACACUUUAUUUAGAAAAAGCUGAAAUUGUAUCUAAUUUAUUUGGUAAAAUGUUUGCAUUUUACUGUAUGAUCGCAUGGCAAAGUUAAAUGUUGGUUUGUUAUCAAUUACAGUGGCAAGAAAAUGUGAAUCCUUUGGAAUUACCAGGAUUUCUGCAUAAAUUGGUCAUACAAUUUGAUCUGAUCUUUAAAAAAUAAACAUGUAACCUUUAUUUAACUAGGCAAGUCAGUUAAGAACAAAUUCUUAUUUACAGUGACGGCCUACCGGGAACAGUGGGUUAACUGCCUUGUUCAGGGGCAGAACGACAGAUUUUUACCUUGUCAGCUCGGAGAUUCGAUCCAGCAACCUUUCGAUUACUGGCCCAUCUAAGUCACAACAAUAAACAAACACAGUCUGCUUAAACUAAUAACACACAAACAAUUAUAUGUUUUCAUGUCUUUAUUGAACACAGCGUUAACAUUCACAGAGUAGGAUGGGAAAAGUAUGUGAACCCUUGGAUUUAAUAACUGGUUGACCCUCCUUUGGCAGCAAUAAACUCAACCAAACGUUUUCUGUAGUUGCGGAUCAGACCUGCACAACGGUCAGGAGGAAUUUUGAACCAUUCCUCUUCACAACACUGUUUCAGUUCAGCAAUAUUCUUAGGAUGUCUGGUGUGAACCGCUCUCUCGAGGUCUUGCCACAGCAUUUUAAAUCAGGAAGAGGUCAGGACUGACUGGGACACUCCAGAAGGUGUAUUUUCUUCUGUUGUUGAUUUACUUCUGUGUUUUGAGUUGUUGUCCUGAAUCAUCACCCAACAUCUGUUGAGCUUCAAUUGGCAGACAGAUAGCCUAACAUUCUAUUGCAAAAUGUCUUGAUAAACGUGGGAAUUCAUUUUUCCGUCGAUGAUAGCAAGCUGUCCAGGCCCUGAGGCAUCAAAGCAGCCCCAAACCACGAUGCUCCCUCCACCAUAUUUUACAGUUGGGAUGAAGUUUUGAUGUUGUGGUACUGUGCCUUUUUUUCUCCACACAUAGUGAUGAGUGUUCCUUCCAAACAACUCAACUGUAGUUUUAUCUGUCCACAGAAUAUUUUGCCAGUAGAGCUGUGGAACAUCCAGGUGCACUUUUUAAAACUUCAGACGUACAGCAAUGGUUUUUUUGGACAGCAGUGGCUUCUUCCAUGGUGUUCUCCCAUGAACACCAUUCUUGUUUAGUGUUUUACGUAUCAUAGACUUGUCAACAGAGAUCAAAUCAAAUCAAAUGUUAUUUGUCACAUACACAUGGUUAGCAGAUGUUAAUGCGAGUGUCGCGAAAUGCUUGUGCUUCUAGUUCCGAUAAUGCAGUAAUAACCAACAAGUAAUCUAACUAACAAUUCCAAAACUACUGUCUUAUACACAGUGUAAGGGGAUAAAGAAUAUGUACAUAAAGAUAUAUGAAUGAGUGAUGGUACAGAGCAGCAUAGGCAAGAUACAGUAGAUGGUAUCGAGUACAGUAUAUACAUAUGAGAUGAGUAUGUAAACAAAGUGGCAUAGUUAAAGUGGCUAGUGAUGCAUGUAUUACAUAAGGAUGCAGUAGAUGAUAUAGAGUACAGUAUAUACGUAUGCAUAUGAGAUGAAUAAUGUAGGGUAACAUUAUAUAAGGUAGCAUUGUUUAAAGUGGCUAGUGAUAUAUUUUACAUCAUUCCCCAUCAAUUCCCAUUAUUAAAGUGGCUGGAGUUGAGUCAGUGUCAGUGUCAGUGUGUUGGCAGCAGCCACUCAAUGUUAGUGGUGGCUGUUUAACAGUCUGACGGCCUUGAGAUAGAAGCUGUUUUUCAGUCUCUCGAUGUUCGCAUGUUCCAGAGAUUUCUGUAAGUUUUUAGCUGACACUCUAGGAUUCUUCUUAACAUGGAGUAUUCUGCACUGUGCUCUUGCAGUCAUCUUUGCAGGACGGCCACUCCUAGGGAGUAGCAACAGUGCUGAACUUUCUCUAUUUAUAGACAAUUUGUCUUAACAUGGACUGAUGAACAUCAAGGCUUUUAGAGAUACUUCUGUAACCCUUUCCAGCUUUAUGCAACGAUUCUUAAUCUUAAGUCUUCUGAGAUCUCUUUUGUUCGAGGCGUGGUUCACAUCAGGCAAUGCUUCUUGUGAAUAGCAAACUCAAAUUUUGUGAGUAUUUUUUAUAGGGCAGGGCAGCUCUAAUCAACAUCUCCAAUCUCGUCUCACUGAUUGGACUCAAGGUUAACUGACCUUUGACUCCAACUAGCUUUUGGAAAAGUCAUUAGCCUAGGGGUUCACAUACUUUUCCCAACCUACAUUGUGAAUGUUUAAAUGAUGUAUUCAAUACAGACAAGAAAAAUACAAUAAUUUGUGUGUUAUUAGCUUAAACACACUGUGUUUGUCUAUUGUUGUGACUAAGAUGAAGAUCAGAUCCAAUUUCAUAACUAAUUUAUGCAGAAAUCCAGGUAAUUCCAAAGAGUUCACAUACUUUUUCUUGCCACUGUAUGUCAUAACCAAAGUAUUUCAGAAAAUGUGUCCACCACCAGUGUUAAACGAUCACCUGAAUGUAUUCAUAGGAUUGUGACUAGCAGCUGGCAUCCUUACCGUGAUAAAAUGGAUGUUUUGCUGCUUCUGUGUAGAGCUGUUCUCUCUCACCAGAUAAUUGAUCAUUUUGUCACUGUGGUUAAAAUAAGUCUCGUUGUGGGAACCAUUCUGUUUGCCAUGCGUCAGUCUCUUAUUCCAAUAUGUUUGAAGCCACAGUAUGGGGCGCCCUCUAGGGAUGAUCGUGAUAAUCCAGGUGUGGAAAGGACUAACGUGCGUAAUGCAACACCAGUGUAAUGUUCACAAGGUGAGAAAGCACAUUCAAAAUAAUACAUUUGUCUUGUGUCAUCUUCAGAGAGAGAUUGUUUUCUUUUCAAUCUUAAAUAAGUUUUAGGAUUACAUGGUAUUGAGAUUUAGGGGUGGCAGGUAGCCUCGUGGUUUGAGUGUUGGGCCAGUAACUGAAAGGUUGUUGGAUCAAAUCUCUGCGCUGACAAGGUAAAAAUCUGUCAUUCUGCCCUUGAAUAAGGCAGUUAGCCCACUGUCAUUGUAAAUAAGAAUUUGUUGUUAACUGACUUGCCUAGUUAAAAAAAGAUAGUACUUUUCAAUGAACCAAAGUGGCUUUAA
Oncorhynchus nerka (sockeye salmon) is the source of this 5837-nucleotide long non-coding RNA. RefSeq lists it as uncharacterized. Lineage: Eukaryota; Metazoa; Chordata; Actinopteri; Salmoniformes; Salmonidae. The transcript is spliced from 3 exons. The record is from RefSeq and is a predicted model, not a curated record.